CGCACAUUGCGCCCGCCAGCAUUCUGGCGGGCAUGCCUGUUCGAGCGUCAUUUCAACCCUCAAGCCCAGCUUGGUGUUGGGAUCUGCGUGCAUUCGCAGUCCCCAAAUUGAUUGGCGGUCACGUCGAGCUUCCAUAGCGUAGUAAUUUACACCUCGUUACUGGUAAUCGUCGCGGCCACGCCGUUAAACCCCAACUUCUGAAUGUUGACCUCGGAUCAGGUAGGAAUACCCGCUGAACUUAA
Molecule: unclassified non-coding RNA, 242 nt
Filed under: Nectriaceae sp.
Lineage: Eukaryota; Fungi; Ascomycota; Sordariomycetes; Hypocreales; Nectriaceae
Description: partial contains 5.8S ribosomal RNA, internal transcribed spacer 2, and large subunit ribosomal RNA
Source: RNAcentral